This is a long non-coding RNA of Carcharodon carcharias (great white shark), 1216 nucleotides long. RefSeq lists it as uncharacterized. The transcript has 3 exons. Lineage: Eukaryota; Metazoa; Chordata; Chondrichthyes; Lamniformes; Lamnidae. The record is from RefSeq and is a predicted model, not a curated record.
GUGAAUGAAAGGAAUGGUUGGAAGGAAAGUUGGUAUUGUCAGGAAGAAUUCUGGUGGAUUGGGAAGGAGGAAGAAAGUUGGGAAACUUAGGCAAAGAGGUUAGGAGGAGGAAGGAAUUUGAGGGGAGGUGUGGAGUUUAGUUGGGGCUGCUGUUUCGAUGGGGAAGAAACUAACUCACGGGCUUGAGGGAGUAAAUGGCCUGUGGCUGUUCUGUUGCUAGAACUUUAUUGUUGCUGUCAAUGUAAUUCUGUCUCCGAGAAUCAUAUUGCUGUUGGUAUUGAAUAAAAUACCCCUUGUGUGUAAUGAUGAUUGAUUCAGCACAAGUUCUGUUUUAUACUAGUGGAAUGUUAUGGACAAGGAAAAAUACAUGAAGAUAUUCUGAAACAAAUGGACAUUAGUAUAUGUGGAGAAGAUCCUGAGAUUCCAUAUAUUCUGUUCGUUUACAAAAUUUCUUGUGAUAUUGAGGAUCUCUGCAACGCUCUACAAUGGGUUGAAAAUUUAUCCUCCUGGAGGUGGACAGCCUUGAUGUCACUCGCAUUGAUGACUACUUUAAAUGCUUGGUUAAAGUCUGGAGCUACUGGCAGUGAUUCGUUUAUAAAUUGGUUUUCAGCUUUUCGAAACUGUCUGGCAUUUCUUGGUCCAUACUAAUUUUCCUUUUUUCUGUAGUAAUCUUGUCAGCGGGGCAGCUCCUGUGCUGAAGUUUGGGAUAAACUUGCGGUAGAGUCCACACAUCCCUAAGAAUCUCAUGAUUUCCCAUUUUGGUGUAGCAAUGGGAACUGUGCCAUUGCUUGUAUCUUUCCAGCUCAGGACAGUACUUAUCCUUGACCCACCACGUGUCCUAGAUAGGUCACCUGAGCCUUGGUGAACUCACUCUUUGUGAGAUUGACCAAAAGGUCAGCUGACUGUAAUUUCUGGAAGAGGGCUUCCAGUUGCUCUAAGUGAGUUUCCCUGCUGUCACUGUACAGCAGGAGGUCAUCUAGGUACACUACGCAAUUGGAUAAACUCAACAUUACCUGGAUCUUCCAUCUCUGGACGGUUGCUGGGGAAUUUCUGAGUCCAAAUGGCAUCACUCGACACUGGUAUAACCCAUCUGGAGUUAUGAAGGCAGAAAUUUCCUUCACGCGGGCGGUCAAGAUUACUGCUGACAUGAACUAAAAUGAUAAUAACAAAAAACUGCGAAUGCUGGAAAUCCAAAACAAAAGCAGAAUUACCUGAA